Molecule: long non-coding RNA, 218 nt
Filed under: Hordeum vulgare
Lineage: Eukaryota; Viridiplantae; Streptophyta; Magnoliopsida; Poales; Poaceae
Description: long non-coding RNA (HVUL_LNC013909)
Source: RNAcentral
GGGAUUCAACUGUCUUCUUAUUAAUAAUGCAGAGUACAACGCAGAUACAAACAAGGUAGUUCCGGUACGGACUACAAAACAAGGAAAAUGCUAUGCUACCCGCUGCAGGCCCACGAUCACGACCACGGCUCAGUCCUCUGGAUAGUUCACGUAAAGGCGAUCUGUCUCCUCGUCGUACUGCCACGCCAGCUGGGUGCCGUCGGAAUCAUCUGUCUCUG